Molecule: non-coding RNA, 30 nt
Filed under: Homo sapiens (human)
Lineage: Eukaryota; Metazoa; Chordata; Mammalia; Primates; Hominidae
Source: RNAcentral
UGUUGGAAAUGCAGAGUCUCAGACAGCAGU